CGGCCUGCUGGUCGGCUUCGGCCAGCAGAUCGCCCUGCUGGAGCGGAUGAGCUGAUCGUGAGGACGGCUAAGCCGGUUCAACACCGGCGGACCGG
This 95-nucleotide transfer RNA is filed under the name Planobispora rosea. Its description in RNAcentral is "tRNA-Ser". The record is from RNAcentral. Lineage: Bacteria; Bacillati; Actinomycetota; Actinomycetes; Streptosporangiales; Streptosporangiaceae.